RNAcentral lists this ribosomal RNA (253 nucleotides) under uncultured bacterium. RNAcentral's name for it is "partial 16S ribosomal RNA". It matches the Rfam family "Bacterial small subunit ribosomal RNA", at positions 1250 to 1500 of the family's 1533-position model. The record is from RNAcentral.
CGACACGGUGACGUGGGGCGGAUCCCUGAAAACCGGUCUCAGUUCGGAUCGCAGUCUGCAACUCGACUGCGUGAAGGUGGAGUCGCUAGUAAUCGCGGAUCAGCAACGCCGCGGUGAAUGCGUUCCCGGGCCUUGUACACACCGCCCGUCAAGUCAUGAAAGUGGGCAGCACCCGAAGACGGUGGCCUAACCCUUGUGGGGGGAGCCGCCUAAGGUGAGGCUCGUGAUUGGGACUAAGUCGUAACAAGGUAGC